This is a long non-coding RNA of Pogonomyrmex barbatus (red harvester ant), 733 nucleotides long. The record is from RefSeq and is a predicted model, not a curated record. Lineage: Eukaryota; Metazoa; Arthropoda; Insecta; Hymenoptera; Formicidae.
AUUAAUGAUUCUUUGAUGAUUCUUGACAUACGUUACGUACAACCACGCAACGAUCACGUUAUGAGUUUCUAGAAUAUUAUGUGUGGUCAAUAUGUGCGACACACGUGUCGACAGUGUACGCACAAAAAAGAGAAUUUUCUAAACAUCGCUCUUUCGUCACGUCAAACGAGUAUCCGCGGUUUGUCUCGCGGAGAAUGAUAUUCUCGAAUUAUGUACGAAGCAGAGUACACGUCGUCAUAAAUACAGCGAUGUCGACCACAUCAACGAUCCUUCACAACGAAGAUUGUGAUUAUUGCACCAAAACACCUCGUAAUUAUCGGUAUAAAGUGUUAAUCCCUCCUCCAUAUAUCCACGUUCUGCGAGACUGAUGAUGAAGACGAUGCGGGUUAUGUAGGUGCCCUACUUCUAUAAAUGUUCCUUUCUUUUGUCGGUCUGCAUUCUCUCGACGUCGAGAGUUUACGUAUAAUUUAACGGAACCUGAUUCACGAUACUGCUACUCAUAUUAUGGAUCCCGUAACCGGAUUCAGACUAUCAAUACUGCGUCGAUGAACAUUCACGUUUAUUGAAAGCAUAUUACGGAUCAUUUCAUCGAAAAACGACACCUGCGCGAUAUGAUUUAGAAAAGAAAUUGGUUUCUUCUGCUUUCUCUGAAAUGUCGAUUAACAAAAUGUCACAGCUGUUGUUUUUCUUAUAAAUUAUAUUAAACGAGAAAAUAGAAACUAAAUCUCCAUGA